This is a non-coding RNA of Poecilia reticulata (guppy), 759 nucleotides long. Lineage: Eukaryota; Metazoa; Chordata; Actinopteri; Cyprinodontiformes; Poeciliidae. The record is from RefSeq and is a predicted model, not a curated record.
UUCAGUAUUAUUUACAAAGCAGUAAGCGAAUCUCUCAAAUCAGAAAAACACCUGCAGACGUCCGUCUCCUGCUCAAAAUGCCUCAAAACCAAAUAUCAGUGAACAUGUCAGGGCCUCAAAUGACGAGUUUUUGUUUCACUGUAGGGAUAAGAAGGUCGAGCUGCUUCAUCAUGUUGUCAGUAUAACUACUCUGCGGUAAACUACGGCUAAAGUUUUGAUGACAUUUAUUGCAAGUUGUAAUUGUGGGAGAUUACGUAACUGAAAGAUUUACAUUUAACCUUACUGACAUAGCGGUAGCUGCCAUUAACUUUGUCCUCUUUGUCCAUCCAUCCAUCUUUGUUUCUGCAGAAUGCCAGGGGUGAGAUUCGGGGUUCAUCCUGAUUUGGUUUUUCUUUCCGUAGAUCGUGCCUCUGGCCGGUGCCUCGGUGUUUAGCAGAGUUUCUGUUCUGGACAAAUCCACUGAAGAACCUGUUGCUGCCUUUGCUGGUUGUGUCUCGUACUGAACAUGAGUUUGUUAAAAGCUGGUGGUUUCUCUCCACUGUCACCACAUGCUUGACUCUGAAUGAGGGACUGCUGCAACGCGUUUGACUUCAGAUCUUUGAAUGCAAUGUUGGAUCUACUCCAUCUGGACCCGUGUUAUGAAUCUGUCUCACUGUAUGAGGAAAUGCACUUAUUUGUAUAGUAAAGUCCCGUAACAUGUUAUACGUUGUUGGCCCAAUGCUGAACUGAACUAAACUGAUUUUUUUAUAUUUCAUUAGA